RNAcentral lists this ribosomal RNA (694 nucleotides) under Pseudoalteromonas translucida. RNAcentral's name for it is "bacterial SSU rRNA". It matches the Rfam family "Bacterial small subunit ribosomal RNA", at positions 73 to 766 of the family's 1533-position model. The record is from RNAcentral. Lineage: Bacteria; Pseudomonadati; Pseudomonadota; Gammaproteobacteria; Alteromonadales; Pseudoalteromonadaceae.
GAGAAGCUUGCUUCUUUGCUGACGAGCGGCGGACGGGUGAGUAAUGCUUGGGAACAUGCCUUGAGGUGGGGGACAACAGUUGGAAACGACUGCUAAUACCGCAUAAUGUCUACGGACCAAAGGGGGCUUCGGCUCUCGCCUUUAUAUUGGCCCAAGUGGGAUUAGCUAGUUGGUGAGGUAAUGGCUCACCAAGGCGACGAUCCCUAGCUGGUUUGAGAGGAUGAUCAGCCACACUGGGACUGAGACACGGCCCAAACUCCUACGGGAGGCAGCAGUGGGGAAUAUUGCACAAUGGGCGCAAGCCUGAUGCAGCCAUGCCGCGUGUGUGAAGAAGGCCUUCGGGUUGUAAAGCACUUUCAGUCAGGAGGAAAGGUUGGCGGUUAAUACCCGUUAGCUGUGACGUUACUGACAGAAGAAGCACCGGCUAACUCCGUGCCAGCAGCCGCGGUAAUACGGAGGGUGCGAGCGUUAAUCGGAAUUACUGGGCGUAAAGCGUACGCAGGCGGUUUGUUAAGCGAGAUGUGAAAGCCCCGGGCUCAACCUGGGAACUGCAUUUCGAACUGGCAAACUAGAGUGUGAUAGAGGGUGGUAGAAUUUCAGGUGUAGCGGUGAAAUGCGUAUAGAUCUGAAGGAAUACCGAUGGCGAAGGCAGCCACCUGGGUCAACACUGACGCUCAUGUACGAAAGCGUGGGG